This 296-nucleotide ribosomal RNA is filed under the name Salmonella enterica. Its description in RNAcentral is "partial 16S ribosomal RNA". It matches the Rfam family "Bacterial small subunit ribosomal RNA", at positions 1 to 293 of the family's 1533-position model. The record is from RNAcentral. Lineage: Bacteria; Pseudomonadati; Pseudomonadota; Gammaproteobacteria; Enterobacterales; Enterobacteriaceae. RNAcentral also lists the same sequence under 1 other name.
AAAUUGAAGAGUUUGAUCAUGGCUCAGAUUGAACGCUGGCGGCAGGCCUAACACAUGCAAGUCGAACGGUAACAGGAAGCAGCUUGCUGCUUUGCUGACGAGUGGCGGACGGGUGAGUAAUGUCUGGGAAACUGCCUGAUGGAGGGGGAUAACUACUGGAAACGGUGGCUAAUACCGCAUAAUGUCGCAAGACCAAAGAGGGGGACCUUCGGGCCUCUUGCCAUCAGAUGUGCCCAGAUGGGAUUAGCUUGUUGGUGAGGUAACGGCUCACCAAGGCGACGAUCCCUAGCUGGUCU